This 312-nucleotide ribosomal RNA is filed under the name Beauveria bassiana. RNAcentral describes it as "SSU rRNA". It matches the Rfam family "Eukaryotic small subunit ribosomal RNA", at positions 1141 to 1471 of the family's 1831-position model. Lineage: Eukaryota; Fungi; Ascomycota; Sordariomycetes; Hypocreales; Cordycipitaceae. The record is from RNAcentral.
AACUUAAAGGAAUUGACGGAAGGGCACCACCAGGGGUGGAGCCUGCGGCUUAAUUUGACUCAACACGGGGAAACUCACCAGGUCCAGACACAAUGAGGAUUGACAGAUUGAGAGCUCUUUCUUGAUUUUGUGGGUGGUGGUGCAUGGCCGUUCUUAGUUGGUGGAGUGAUUUGUCUGCUUAAUUGCGAUAACGAACGAGACCUUAACCUGCUAAAUAGCCUGUAUUGCUUUGGCAGUACACCGGCUUCUUAGAGGGACUAUCGCGCUCAAGUCCGACCUGGAAGUUUGAGGCAAUAACAGGUCUGUGAUGCC